RNAcentral lists this ribosomal RNA (253 nucleotides) under uncultured bacterium. RNAcentral describes it as "partial 16S ribosomal RNA". It matches the Rfam family "Bacterial small subunit ribosomal RNA", at positions 524 to 776 of the family's 1533-position model. The record is from RNAcentral.
UACGAAGGGUGCAAGCGUUGUUCGGAAUUAUUGGGCGUAAAGGGUUCGUAGGCGGGAUUAUAAGUCAAGUGUGAAAUCCCCGAGCUUAACUCGGGACGUGCAUUUGAAACUGUGAUUCUUGAGUCAUUGAGAGGGUGGUGGAAUUGUUGGUGUAGGAGUGACAUCCGUAGAGAUCAACAGGAACAUCAGAGGCGAAAGCGGCCACCUGGCAAUGUACUGACGCUGAGGAACGAAAGCGUGGGGAGCAAACAGG